CCUUGUCAUGACCAAAAAUGCCUGUUCAAUGAAAUGUUCAUUGAAAACCCGGUCUCCCUGUUUCACCUAAAACGCAACCACCUCCAAAUCCCUAACUUCCUCCCCCCGGCCAACCACAACUCUAUUUUCCGUUUCUAAACCUUUUUCCUUUUUCUCAAUUUUCCCCUUUCACCAUUUCUUCGUAUUUGUGACUGACUUUGAAAGCGUAAAAGUCUAUGCGCUGCUGCGCGCUUGCUGGUUGACACAUGAAUGCAGUGAAAUUUCCUUUUCCUUGUUUCGUCGACUUUUGACUGAAACUUAUUCUGUUUUCUGUUGCUGAAGUGUUGGGUAUUACCAAUAUUAACGAACAUUUAGUGCAAGGCUCUAAAUUAACAUUGUUUAUUUUAUUUCUGUUGCAUUCACCGUUGGUGGAGAUGUGUGCUGUGGGCUCUGGCUGCGCCCUUUAUUCUUUCUGGUUGAAGCUUUUUGUUUGAAGGAAACUUGAAAUUACCAACAGAACCUUUCUGCUUUUUCCUUGCUCAAUACACUGAUUACGAACUGAUAAGAAAUUGCCGAACUUUCGUCUCUUUUCUUUGCAUACACGCACCCACGCACAUACAUUCACACGCACACACAAAAGUAAGCUGGCGUGAUUGAAGGCCUUUUUUUCGGCCCGGUUUUAGUCACGUUACAACGUUAGCUAGCCUAUCAGUCCGGGAUCCAGUAAUUUUGUGUCGCGCCUGGUCUUUUUUGCAAGAAAGUGGGCUCCAUCAACCAUCCGGGGCAAAGUCAGUCUGUCCUGAUUGCACUACCUGCUAAUUGAUGACGUCUAGAAGCCAUGGCUGGUGCUCUCAACGUGGCACACCAUCAGAUUCACCCUACCCUGCAGGACAUCUAUACCAGAAGAGGAUGGACAGAGGCCCAAAAUAUUUUAAAGGACAUUUCACACCCUGACCAUGGACUGUUUAAACCAUUGAGGUAAAGCAGACGUCUGACGUCUGUUCCCAAAUGUCUAAAACAGAAAGACCGAGAAGGAGUUUCUUUCCUCAAGCCAUUCACAUCCUGAGCACACAUAACUCUUUAAACUACAUUACUGUACAUGGACUUGCCAUACUGCACUUACACACACUGAACUCUUUACCCCCUGGGUCAUUCCGUGUCAAAUCAGAUAAGGUUGUUGCUGCACCGUCUCAGGCCUGUAAAAUAUGUUUUUGUUCAAAUGCUAUGUCUUUAUUGUUAAGUUUGUAAAGCAUGCUCAUUGCUUUUCUACAAGUAUUAAUUAAAAA
This is a long non-coding RNA of Alosa alosa (allis shad), 1265 nucleotides long. RefSeq lists it as uncharacterized. Lineage: Eukaryota; Metazoa; Chordata; Actinopteri; Clupeiformes; Clupeidae. The record is from RefSeq and is a predicted model, not a curated record. The transcript is spliced from 3 exons.